AAUUAUACCUUUAUAAAGCUUUUGAUCAAUAUUUUUACUAUUCUCAUCUUUGUCAAGUUUGCAUGAGGGGCUCAUGGGUGUGCCAAUUUCUUUUGCACUCUCCAUCCUAGACAUUUUGAGUACCUCCUUAAUGUACUUAAUUUGAUUGAUAAAAUUUUUUUUCUUUAUUUAUUUCAUUUAAAGGUGAUGUAAGAUUAGAGGAGGAAGGCAGCA
This 213-nucleotide long non-coding RNA is filed under the name Elaeis guineensis (African oil palm). RNAcentral's name for it is "long non-coding RNA (EGUI_LNC070425)". Lineage: Eukaryota; Viridiplantae; Streptophyta; Magnoliopsida; Arecales; Arecaceae. The record is from RNAcentral.